AUUGAACGCUGGCGGCGUGCCUAACACAUGCAAGUCGAGCGGUAACAGGUGUAGCAAUACAUGCUGACGAGCGGCGACGGGUGAGUAACGCUUGGGAAUCUGCCUAUUAGUGGGGGACAACCCGGGGAAACUCGGGCUAAUACCGCAUACGCUCUACGGAGGAAAGCCGGGGACCGCAAGGCCUGGCGCUAAUAGAUGAGCCCAAGUCGGAUUAGCUAGUUGGUAGGGUAAUGGCCUACCAAGGCGACGAUCCGUAACUGGUCUGAGAGGACGACCAGGUCACACCGGAACUGAGACACGGUCCGGACUCCUACGGGAGGCAGCAGUGGGGAAUAUUGCGCAAUGGGCGAAAGCCUGACGCAGCGACGCCGCGUGAGGGAUGACGGCCUCGGU
This 393-nucleotide ribosomal RNA is filed under the name uncultured bacterium. RNAcentral describes it as "bacterial SSU rRNA". It matches the Rfam family "Bacterial small subunit ribosomal RNA", at positions 29 to 423 of the family's 1533-position model. The record is from RNAcentral.